Mastomys coucha (southern multimammate mouse) is the source of this 909-nucleotide long non-coding RNA. RefSeq lists it as uncharacterized. The record is from RefSeq and is a predicted model, not a curated record. NCBI's taxonomy places the organism in Eukaryota, Metazoa, Chordata, Mammalia, Rodentia, Muridae. The transcript has 3 exons.
GCAUUAGCCCAGGAUCCUCUGCUUUCCUGAGACCCAACCCCUGGCUCCCGCCCCUUUUUGGUCUCUCCGCCUUCCACCGGGACCCACCCCUCAGAUUCCAGCCUGCUGGAACCCGUGCCAGGUUCCUUUCACAGGAACCUCGUCCCCUCCAAAUGCAGUGACUUUUAUCCCUCGCCCCUUCUCCCGCCUGCCUCACCAGGGCGCACACGCUCCUUGGCCCCGGUCGGCUGGCUGUGAUUGGCGCCGGCGGCCCUAACAGAUGACGGAGGAGACAAAGUGAUGGCUGCAGGUCGUCUGAGGUCCCACCCCGGCCACGUGCGGCUUCUGUGAUGACAGGGUGUGGAUGGAACCCAGGGCCUUGCUCACGCUCUGCCACUGAGCUAGAACACCAAUCUCUUUAAUGGUAUCUUCAACGAACUUCCGUUCUCAACUACAAGGACAACAAAUUGUUACUGGAAUCAAGUCUGCUCUAUUCUGCUGAAAACCUAGAAGUCAGAUACAGGUGAAAGGAGCAGGCUAUGGGAACACAUACUUGUAGGUCCAGUACCUGCAAGGCUGAAACAGGAGGCUGGCUACAAGUUUGAGGCAGCCUGGAGUAUGUAGCACUUGAUCAGUCAGAGAUAAGUAGCAAGACUGUCUCCAAACAUCAACCACAAAAGAAACAGGUUUUGGACUUUCAGAGCUCCCUCAAGCCUCUGUCUGCACUGUGGACUCCCUGACAUGAUUGAUUGUAACUUGGAACUGUGAUGCAAAACAACCCCCUAACUAAGAUAUCAGAUGUCCUGCUCUGUCAUUCUUGUUCCCUUGAGAUUACUGAACCAGAAACUCACCAUUUUUUUUCGUUUGUCUGCAAGAUCCAGUGACUCUCUGGUCUCUGUCCCUAAUAAACUACCCUUUGUUAGUCCCUAC